Molecule: ribosomal RNA, 253 nt
Filed under: uncultured bacterium
Lineage: Bacteria
Description: partial 16S ribosomal RNA
Rfam family: Bacterial small subunit ribosomal RNA
Source: RNAcentral
UACGGAGGGAGCUAGCGUUGUUCGGAAUUACUGGGCGUAAAGCGCACGUAGGCGGUUUUUUAAGUCAGAGGUGAAAGCCUGGUGCUCAACACCAGAACGGCCUUUGAUACUGGGUGUCUCGAGUCCGGAAGAGGUUAGUGGAAUUCCCAGUGUAGAGGUGAAAUUCGUAGAUAUCGGGAAGAACACCAGUGGCGAAAGCGCUCUGCUGGGCCUUGAUUGACGCUGAGGCACGAAAGCGUGGGUAGCGAACAGG